ACGUAGGGCGCAAGUGUUGUCCGGAAUUAUUGGGCGUAAAGAGCUCGUAGGCGGCUUGUCACGUCGAUUGUGAAAGCCCGAGGCUUAACCUCGGGUCUGCAGUCGAUACGGGCUAGCUAGAGUGUGGUAGGGGAGAUCGGAAUUCCUGGUGUAGCGGUGAAAUGCGCAGAUAUCAGGAGGAACACCGGUGGCGAAGGCGGAUCUCUGGGCCAUUACUGACGCUGAGGAGCGAAAGCGUGGGGAGCGAACAGG
Molecule: ribosomal RNA, 252 nt
Filed under: uncultured bacterium
Lineage: Bacteria
Description: partial 16S ribosomal RNA
Rfam family: Bacterial small subunit ribosomal RNA
Source: RNAcentral